UGGUCAAAUAGGCAUGGAGGGCUUCGGGUUGCUCUUGGGUGAGAAUCCUUCACAACUUAAAUCUGUCUACAUGUUGAACUUAAAUCUGUCUUUUUCUACCUAUUAGGUUCAAAUUCUGAAUCUCGUGUUCCCACAUCUAAACUGUGCCUCAAUCAGUCCCUUUUUACAUGGCUUGUUGAUUUUAAGUUGACAGAAUCAUUCUUGUCCAUUACACUACAACAUAAACAAUCCAUGUCAUUGUAUAACAUCCUUUUACGCGUUGUUAUAUAGAUACACUCACUCCAUAAUCUUGUCUUAUCUUCAAUUAUCUUAUGGGGAUUCUUAUUUAGCUUGUAACAUUUUAUAAUCAAAAGCAUGGAGAUGUGUUUAAUUUCUUUUUUAAGUUUGUAUUAUUACCGUAGUUGACGGUACACUAAAACAUCACAUAACUCUGCUAUCCCCCUAAUUGCAAUGACUUUUUCACUCUUUAAUUUUGAUCUUCAAUUGUGUUCCUUGUUUGCAUUAUUGCUUGUUGUGUACAUACCAAAAGCAUUCAAUCAGAAGGCAUUUCAAACUUUAUAUUUUGUUUUUGCAUCAUCUCAGUAGCAUCUAAAUUAGUCUCUUCUUCAUGGCAUAUUGGUUAAAACAAGUCGCUCUAAACAUUCAUGUUUAUUACAACAAUAGCUAAGUUUUAGUUUCAAACUAGUUGAGAUCAGCUA
RNAcentral lists this unclassified non-coding RNA (698 nucleotides) under Hevea brasiliensis (rubber tree). The record is from RNAcentral. Lineage: Eukaryota; Viridiplantae; Streptophyta; Magnoliopsida; Malpighiales; Euphorbiaceae.